GUUUGGACUUUGUCAUUUUUUUCAUGUUGUUUACUUCAGGGCUAGUUGGGGUAAUAGGACUUAGGCUUUCCAAAAACUAUACUGUAAAUUUUUUUUACAUGUAAAAUUUGUCCUAUAGAGGGGACUUGGAGAGAAAUUAUAGGUGGACUAAUCAUACUGUAAAUUUUUUUUACAUGUAAAAAUUGUCCUAUCAAGGGGACUUAUAGGUGGAAUAAUUAUACUGUAAUUUUUUUUUACAUGUAAAAUUGGCUUACUUCAGGGCUAGUUGGUAGAGAUGUUGCAGCCAAGGACCAUAUUUUUGUGUUACACUUUCAGCUUCCCAGCUAUACCAUCUUCAACACAAGGAGAAAGUCCCCG
This 357-nucleotide unclassified non-coding RNA is filed under the name Puccinia pascua. Lineage: Eukaryota; Fungi; Basidiomycota; Pucciniomycetes; Pucciniales; Pucciniaceae. The record is from RNAcentral.